Long non-coding RNA from Athene cunicularia (burrowing owl), 318 nucleotides. RefSeq lists it as uncharacterized. The transcript has 3 exons. The record is from RefSeq and is a predicted model, not a curated record. Lineage: Eukaryota; Metazoa; Chordata; Aves; Strigiformes; Strigidae.
CUUCAUAGUCCCUGAGAAGGACAUCUGGACAUCCUUCUGAGAAGACAUCAAAACCCACCAAUGGUUUGAGGUUUGGGAAGAUCAGUUCUCAGCAUGGUCAGAGGGACAGCUAUCAAAUGAGGGAGAAUCCAGAAAUUAUUCAGCCAAACAGAAGAGCACAUGACCUAUUGCAUCAUCAGCAGCUGUUUGCAGUAUACACUAUAGUCAAAGAAACAUUUGCACUAUGACAGAAGGAAAAUGAAAGGAAAGAACAACCAUGAAUACAUGAACAAGAAGAAAUGGAUCCACUGAAGAAAUAGAUGUUAUGAAGAAAGUAUA